AAACAUUUGCUUUUCCAUCUCAGGGUGAACUGCCCUCAUCCCCUUCGAAGUUCCAAACCGCCAUCUCCAACAUCCCCUUUUGUCUUUAGCUUGAAGAUGUUGUUUAAGCCAAAAGAACUUAGAGGGUAGAGGGAAAUUUCUUCCUGCCAACAGUGGGUGACAAAAAUGGGACGUAACUUUGCUGGCUGGACACUCCUUGACCCAAAGAUGCUGCAGUUAAGAGAUCCUGGGACACCUGAUAAAAGCAGGCAGAAGCCUGGGAUCUGGAAUACAGUGGAAGCUCUCAAAUGCAGCAUCCUGCAGACAGACUGCAGUAACAAGAGACACACAGCCCCCAUUCCAUAGCAACUGCUGGGACGAGCAGGCUGCAGUUCCUGGCUUGGAGCCUGUCGUUGGCACAGAAAGAAGAGCCCUCUCCUGGCACAUCUCAGAUUGAUGCUACUUCUGACUCUGGCACAAAGGCUACCACUCCAACUAUUUCUGCAAAGCGCACAGCCCUGGAGCCAGCUUCCUCUACUUCUGGUCCUUCUGAGGGGCCCCUCUCUAUUCUCCUGAGAUUCAGCAGGGCAGCAAGAGCCAGGGUGUGCAGAGAGGAGGACAAGGAAAGGAAGGCAUGGAGCCCAAGAGGCAGGCUGGAUGGAGGAAGCCCUGAAGGAGUGUGCUCACAGCAGAAAUGGAGAGAGACAGAAGCCAUAGCACCUUCAUGCUUCGUAGAUGCCUAAGGACCACCUCAUCCCACUCAGCAUAUUAGAGCAUUUGCCCAUCCGCUCAGCAACUUGCUGCUCUAUCUCACUGAAGCUUCUCAGCAGCCUGAGAAAGUAGGCAAGACCAGUUAUUAUGGCCCCAACCUCCACCCAUUUUACAGAGAGAGAGAAACCAAUGUUCAGAGUGAUGCAGUGACUUCUCCCAGAACAGAAAAUCAGGCAGCUCGACCCCUGCCUCUUCAGCCUUCGAGCCCUGGAGCCUAUACUCCAGAGACAUUUAUUGAGCAUUUUUCAAGGGUAAGAUACCUUUUUUCUGGCCGCGCCCGCAGCAUGGGGAAGUUCCUGGGCCAGAGAUGGAACCUAAGCCACAGCUGUAAACAGAGCUACUGCAGUGACAACACUGGAUUUUUAACAUGCUGAGCCAUGACAGAACUACUCAAGUGCAAGAUCCUUGAGGGAAUCAAAGAUUUCUAAGAUAUGAUCCCUUCUUUUGGAUAACUUUUUACCAGGUGGAGAAAGCAAUUGCUUCAGUAGAAGGCAGAGGGUAAAGUCACUGCAGGAGGCACCCAAAGAAGUGCUGUAGGUAUGAGAAGGGGAAGCAAGGAAAAUCUUGCUUCUCCUUUGACCCUGGGUUCAAAGACAAAUAAGUCCCAACACCAAACAAACCUUCCAUGGAAGAGAGACAACUGGAAUUUCUCUUCUUAUUUUGAGUAGUGAUCACAAGGAAUAGAAAAAAGAAAUAAGCAAAAGAUAUUUCAGGGGAGGAAAUGCUUUGGGGCCUUUGUCCAAAAAAUAUCUCUUCACACUAACUUUCUUUUAUUAAUGCAUUCAUUUAAUGCAAACCAUUUAAUGCAUCUCAGUUGAAAGGGAGAAAGAAAAAAGACACCGGAUGACUGACUUUGGGUUUGGUGUCCAAAAAAGGUUAACUUUCAUUAAAUCUGCAGUGGGAAUAAGUUCAUUGAAUGAGGAUGGAUAUUACUUUUUACCUUACCCUGUUCUCUGUGUUUGACAUUUUUCCAUGAGGAUGUGUUACUCUUAUGACAAAAGAGAAAUUCAUGUUUUCCUCUCCACCUCUUUCAGCUUAUUUUGCAGUAGGCUUAUUAUCUCUCACCUGCAGUCAUAACCCUUUCAUAACAACUUGUAACAAAAGAGCUGCUGUUUUACAGAGCUUUUGCUAUAUGUAGGGUAGAGGCUAAAUUCUCUAAAUAUCUUCCUCGUUCCUCAGGACGAUGCUCAAAGUGGGUAUUAGCGCCCUCUUUUUACAGAUGAGGAAACUGAGCCUUAGAGAGAUUAAGUAAUUUGCUCAAACUCACAAAGCUCAGAAACAGUGGAGCCUGGCUUAGAAUCCAGGCAGAACUUGCAAUGGUCCUAACUGGAAGAACCUCGACCAUUCUCUGCUGCCAGUUAUCUUCUUACACCAGAUGUGAUGACAUCACUCCUUUGCUUAAAAUCUGUGAGUUCUUACCCCCACCCUUCCACUGCCUAAAGAACACAACUUAAGCUUCUUAGAACAUCAUUCCCAAGACCAGUUCUCAAUGCAUUCAUCCAUGUGCUCAUUGUAAGUCAACAAAUAACAGCAAGCCCUAACAUUUGUUUCAAAACAAUUUUUCAUGCAGUCUCCCCAUAUCCCUGUGACAAAGGCAGAAGAGCAAACACUUCUAAGCAGCUUCAAUAGCUUGUAGAGUGUCAGGACAAUAUGCCUUGACAUUCCUUCCUUGUCCAGCCGGUUCUCGAAACUUUCCACCAUGUUUUUGGCAUAUCCUGUUAUUCUAUCCCUUUCUGAUUUGCAGUGCUGUUUCUUCUAGGCCUGCCCUGCACCCUGCCCAGUGAAUGCUUACAAAUCCUUUGUAAUUUCUAGUUUUCAAAUGGCCUGCCUUUUAGGGGCUCCCUUAACAACCUGUUGACAUGCCCCAUUUCUGUACUAACUGCACUAGAUUAGAUGCAUUUGCUUGCCUGAUCCGCUUUCCCAGUAGACUGUGACCUUCUCUACAACAGAGGGUUGUGAACAUGGCCUUAGGAAGCUGGGAUGGACUAGUGAUGGAGGAUAGAAUGAAUGAAGACCAAUAUGAUAAGUGGCAAAUCUUUGUUUCUAUUGCUCCUAGGAUUCAUGCAACACUGAAUCAAUACUUAUCAAGAAUGAAGCAUUGUACUAGGGCAGAGAUAAAUACUGAAAUGGUAGUGUGUGUGGGGGUAUUUAGAGAAAGAGGAGAAGGAUAUAUAUUUUUCCUUAUAUUCUUAUAAAUAUGGUGAGUAUAUCACAGAGUGUCCCUUUCUAUACACACAUAAUACAUAUACAUGCAUGUAUAUACAUGGUGUAUAUAUAUUAUGGGUACAUAUAUACAUGUAUAGUGUGUAUACGCUAUGUUUGUACAUAUGUAGUGUUCAUACAUAUAUUGUGUAUGUUCAUAUACAAAUAUAUAGUAUGCAAAUGCAUGUCUGUGUACAUAUAACAGUGUGUGGACAUAUAGUUUUGUGUGGUAGGUACAUACAGAGUGUAUAUACAGUGUGUAUACAUGUGUUGUGUAUAUAUGCACAUACAUAUGGCCUGGCAUGUAUGUGAUGCCUCUGUGUGCACCAGAAUGCAAUCUGAGCAGAGAUCUGGAGGGUGCACCAGAAGAUGGUAGGAAAGAUAGCCAUUACAAGAAACACAGAUAUUUUUUAAUAAAAUGAAAAACACCUUGAGGCUUGCCUCCCUGCUAAGGAAAGAGUGGAGCGCCUGAAGGAAGAAGAAACAACUAGAGAUUUAGGAAGGAAAACAGCUUAGAGAAACCUCACUCAAAUCAGCAAGAACCACAUUCUAAGAGGCUGGUGAGCCGAAACAGAUACCUUAAAAAUCAAAGCCAAGGAGGAGUUUCCACUGUGGUGCAGUGGCUUAAGGAUCCAACUGCAGCAACUUGGGUUGCUGUGGAGGCAAGGGUUGAUCCUCAGCCUGGCGCAGUGUGCUAAACUAUCUGGGUUUCCACAGCUGUGGCAUAGGUUGCAGGUGCAUCUCAGAUUCAACUCCUGGCCCAGGAACUUGCAUAUGCUGAAGGUGUGGCAAUAAAAAAAAAAAAAGAAAAAAAGAAAAAAGAAAAA
RNAcentral lists this long non-coding RNA (3779 nucleotides) under Sus scrofa (pig). RNAcentral's name for it is "lncRNA (ENSSSCG00065037014.1)". The record is from RNAcentral. Lineage: Eukaryota; Metazoa; Chordata; Mammalia; Artiodactyla; Suidae.